This is a small nuclear RNA of Nilaparvata lugens (brown planthopper), 154 nucleotides long. RefSeq annotates it as U1 spliceosomal RNA. Lineage: Eukaryota; Metazoa; Arthropoda; Insecta; Hemiptera; Delphacidae. The record is from RefSeq and is a predicted model, not a curated record. The transcript has a single exon.
UUACUUACCUGGCUUGGGGGUUACCCUGAUCAAGAAGGCGGUUCCCCCAGGGCGAGGUCUUGUCAUUGCACUGCGACUUGGUUGACCCCUGCAAAUGCCCCAAAUGUGUGCAUCUCGGGUGCAUGUUAUAUUAGUGGCAUUAUUAUGAUAAUGG